This 162-nucleotide ribosomal RNA is filed under the name uncultured Chlamydiales bacterium. RNAcentral's name for it is "partial 16S ribosomal RNA". It matches the Rfam family "Bacterial small subunit ribosomal RNA", at positions 347 to 504 of the family's 1533-position model. The record is from RNAcentral. Lineage: Bacteria; Pseudomonadati; Chlamydiota; Chlamydiia; Chlamydiales.
AGCUGCAGUCGAGAUCUUUCGCAUGGGCGAAGCCUGACGAAGCGACGCCGUGUGUGUGAUGAAGGCCYUCGGGUCGUAAAGCACUUUCGCUUGGGAACAAGAGAUGUUGGCUAAUAUCCAGCUGAUUUGAGGGUACYAGGUAAAGAAGCACCGGCUAACUCC